This is a non-coding RNA of Chelonoidis abingdonii (Abingdon island giant tortoise), 2061 nucleotides long. The record is from RefSeq and is a predicted model, not a curated record. NCBI's taxonomy places the organism in Eukaryota, Metazoa, Chordata, Testudines, Testudinidae.
GGUGUGACAUCUGCCACUCCUUCUGUCCUUGCACCAAGCAGUCCUAGGAGUUCAGACUUCGCAAGCACCCGAUGGAGCUCAUCAUGAAUCCUUGGGAUCUUACUGCACCCUGUCUCAUCGACUGGAGCUGCUGAGCAGUGCCCGGACGGAACACUCCAGCAGACACAGGGACUCCUCUCAAAAGAUGAGGAUAAGGAGAAGACCCCCAGACAGGAAGGAGGGGAAAACAUUCUAGAAGUCUGUUUAGAAGAGGGCAGCUUCCCUCCGUGGAACCAAGUGAGACCCUCUGCCUUGAAGCUGGAGUUCAUGGAGAUCCCAGGACAGCAACAACACUAUCAGGAGCUUCUAGUGCUUCAAAACUGCCUGAAAAGGUGUGCUAGAACAAUAGGAACAGAUUGCCUUUGACAGCAUACUAUGCCAGAAAGGAAGCUGGCUAUUGGUUAAAUGAAUUUACUGUAUCCUGCAAAACUUUGUAAAAUGUGAACUACAGGGGGAUGCAAUUUGCUGUAAAAAUUGUGUUUAGAAUGGGGAGGUUAAAAAAAAAAGAGGAAAUUGUUCUUAUUUUAAGAAUAAAGAGCAAAAGAGUUUCUCUCUCUCUUUCCUGCAAGAUAUUUUUAAAAUAGGUGCAUCUUUUAAACAUGGUAGGGUAUUGGCUCUGUAGCAAUUUCUUAAUUCAGCUACACAGUCCUUUUGAAUCAGGGAAAUGAAUAUCCAGUUUCUGGCAAGGCAAUGUCAUAACUACUGAGGAAUUGCUCAAUAACCUGGGGUAGAAAGUAGUGGUAAUAUUACACAGUCAGGAAGAAGUUUCUUUUAGGCAUUCUGUUUCCACAGCACUAAGACUCAGCUUUGUGGUAGGGACAAUCUUGACCUUCAGACCUUGUUAUAGUGGCAAUUCAUGGUCACUGUGCAUGAGCAAUUUUGAGAGUGACUCUUACCGGCUAGUGGUUUUGGCUGAUUUGUGAGUCUUCCCUUCCUUUUUGUUAAAAUACCCGAAUUCAAAAGGAGAAACUGAGCCAGAUCAAACCAAACAUUUUGAGUUUUUUGAUUUGCUGAAUUUUUUUUUUUGACUUGAACCUAAACUUUUUUUUAUAGGGGUUGCUAGUGAACUGAAAGACAUUACCCAGCUGUAGUGUAGUUCUAUGCUAAAUAACUUUUGUAUUGAGGAGAUUGAAUGCUCCUGAUUCCCUUUAGUGCUUUCUUGUACUAUUGGGAUAAAGGUGACAUAACUGUGGAAUGAUCUGUCUGGACAUCAGGUGGGUUGCUAACCACGUUCUUUGUGUGUAUCUGUAUUGAGGAAUUCAAAACAAAGCAUUAAUGUUGGUUUUGGAAAACACACUCUAGCCUACCCUCCAGAGUUGAAGAUAAUUGAGUGAUGAAAGAAAGAAAGAAAUGGCUGAAGCAGAUUUAAGUAGCCGAGCAACUUUCACUCUUGACUGCUAGGAAGAGCAAGUCGCAUACCAGCAAAAUCACUUAAUGCUCUGAAUGAUUCAUUAAGAAACACACACAUCAGGAAUAUUGGUGUAAUCUCAUAUAUGCUGCUAAUUCAAGAAUCUCCAUUUGUGGGGGCAGAUAAUCAAGAAACUUUCCUCAAUAUCUCUCAAAUCAAUGUGGAUUAUUCAGAGGAAACUUUUGCAUCAGUUUCAUACUUGGCCAGAGACUUCAUUCAAAAACUUCUUGUCAAAAACCCAGAGUAGGUAGCAGAUUCUUCGGUGCAUCUUUCUGUUUGUUUAUAAGCAUCUGGCAAAGCAGGGCCUUGAUCCUGAUUGAGGAUUUUGGGUGCUACUGUAAUAUAAAUGUGAUAAGACCAGUUAUCAUUUAACAUAACAAUGUUGGUUUUCAUAUGGAUAAAUUCUAUGUAGUGUAAAUAUUUAGAAUGGGCUGGAUUCAAAUAGAAAAUCUGACUUGACUAGUGAGAUCCCAAUAAUGGAAAUUCUGUUUAAAUGUUGAACUGUAAAAUUAUCAGAUAGUCUGACUUUAUAUCAGAUUAACUGGUGGUAAUGUCCAUUUGUAACUGAUUUUUCCGCUUAGUAAGAUGCAAUUUGCUUAAAAGCAGUUUUAUGU